RNAcentral lists this ribosomal RNA (468 nucleotides) under uncultured bacterium. RNAcentral describes it as "partial 16S ribosomal RNA". It matches the Rfam family "Bacterial small subunit ribosomal RNA", at positions 28 to 507 of the family's 1533-position model. The record is from RNAcentral.
GACGAACGCUGGCGGCGUGCUUAACACAUGCAAGUCGAACGGAAAGGCCCUGCUUUUGUGGGGUUCUCGAGUGGCGAAGGGGUGAGUAACACGUGAGUAACCUGCCCUUGACUUUGGGAUAACUUCAGGAAACUGGGGCUAAUACCGGAUAGGAGCUCCUGCUGCAUGGUGGGGGUUGGAAAGUCUCGGCUGUUGGGGAUGGACUCGCGGCUGAUGAGCUUGUUGGUGGGGUAGUGGCUUACCAAGGCUGUGGCGGGUAGCCGGCCUGAGAGGGUGACCGGCCACAAUGGGACUGAGAUACGGCCCAGACUCCUACGGGAGGCAGCAGUGGGGAGUAUUGCCCAAUGGGAGGAAGCCUGAUGAAGAGACGCCGCGUGCGGGAUGACGGCCUUCGGGUUGUAAACCGCUUUCGCCUGUGACGAAGCGUGAGUGACGGUAAUGGGUAAAGAAGCACCGGCUAACUACGUG